AGAAAGGAGUCUCCUGCUUCUCCUGCUCCCAGUGCCUGCCUUCCUGGAUGUUGUGGCUGCUGCAGCUUUGCUGGGAGGCAGGAUGUACCAGAAUGGUGAGGAGCUGCGAGUGGCUUAAUCACUACAUUUACUCAGCUUUGUGACUAAUGCCUGUGUCACUUAACAAGCUUUAUUAACAAUAUAGUGACCUUGAAAACUCUGCA
Pogoniulus pusillus (Red-fronted tinkerbird) is the source of this 203-nucleotide long non-coding RNA. RefSeq lists it as uncharacterized. The transcript has 2 exons. The record is from RefSeq and is a predicted model, not a curated record. Lineage: Eukaryota; Metazoa; Chordata; Aves; Piciformes; Lybiidae.